This 305-nucleotide ribosomal RNA is filed under the name uncultured bacterium. RNAcentral's name for it is "bacterial SSU rRNA". It matches the Rfam family "Bacterial small subunit ribosomal RNA", at positions 337 to 657 of the family's 1533-position model. The record is from RNAcentral.
UCCUACGGGGGGCAGCAGUGGGGGAUAUUGCACAAUGGGGGAAACCCUGAUGCAGCGACGCCGCGUGGGCGAAGAAGUAUUUCGGUAUGUAAAGCCCUAUCAGCAGGGAAGAAGAAAUGACGGUACCUGAGUAAGAAGCACCGGCUAAAUACGUGCCAGCAGCCGCGGUAAUACGUAUGGUGCAAGCGUUAUCCGGAUUUACUGGGUGUAAAGGGAGCGCAGGCGGCACGGCAAGCCUGAAGUGAAAAUCCAGCGCUUAACGUUGGAAGUGCUUUGGAAGCCGCCGGGCUGGAGUGCAGGAGGGG